GGGAUCGGAGAUCCCGACAGAAGUGUUGAAUGAUGAUAAACUGAUAAAUGAAGCGUUGAAUGACGAUAAACUGAUGGAUGAAGUGUUGAAUGACAAUAAACUGAUGGAUGAAGCGUUGAAAGACGAUAAACUGAAGGGUGAAGCGUUGAAUGACGAUAAAGUGAUGAUAAACACUUCAUCCACGGUUACCUAACCCUUCGAACACAGUUCAGUGCACUAACCCCUGGGUGCCAACAAAUCGUGUUUGGCGCCCAGCGCCAAAGGUGGAGAUGGGGACCUCCAGCCACAACGACGUGGACCUCAGCUGGAUCCCUCAGGAGACCCUCAACCAGAUCAUGCAGAGUCGCAGAGACAAAGCGUCUCCCAGAAGAUCUCCUCGCAAGAGG
Molecule: non-coding RNA, 386 nt
Organism: Gasterosteus aculeatus aculeatus (three-spined stickleback)
Lineage: Eukaryota; Metazoa; Chordata; Actinopteri; Perciformes; Gasterosteidae
Source: RefSeq, a predicted model, not a curated record